UCUUUGAGAGACUAAGCAUCUGUUUGUUUCACGGAAGAUGAAGUUCAAAUUGAAAUAAACUUUUUCGAGAAAAUUAAAAUUCAGGUAAAAAUUAAUUCUCUCUCGCUGUUUUUGCUGUUCCAUUAGCAAAAAGUAAACAACAUGAAAGCUAAAAUUUUCACACGUCUUGUGUUUGUUUCAUCAAAAAUUAUUGAAUCUUCACGUCUCUGUAUUUGUUUCACCAAAAAAAAAAAUCUCCAUCAUUAAUAUUUUAUUUUAUUUUAUUUUAUUUUUAUUUUAAUUGACCUCGGCCCAAGGCGCCCGAGGUGGGAUGAAGUAAGGAUGCAAAUGGAUAUGGGUAGGUAGAGAUGCAAAUGAAUUUGGGCGGUAAAAAAUAGUUCGUUCCGAAUCCACCUCGAUGUGCAAAGAAAAUAGAGAGAUAGGUAAGAUUCCCUUCCCCUUUUUUCUAUCUAUCCUAAUCCACUAAAAAUUCGCUCCCGUCCUUAAUAUGUCCAGAUCACUUUAAUUCCAACAUUUUCAAGAAUUAAAGUUUCGCUGGAAGAUGAAAUUAUAGUAUAUUUAACAAUAAAAAUAAAUAUAUAUAGUUGAAACCAUUUUGGCCCUAUUCAGCACUCUUGGUGAAACAAUCACACAACCUCAAAAAAAAUCUAGAAUGCAGUAGUCAUAUUAUUGACGUGGUGUCUCCAACCAAUCAAAUUGCUUUUCUGGAGUUCACUCGUCCCAUAAUGAUUUUUGGAUAAAUAUUUUUAUCAUAUUUUUCUCUCAAAAUUUUAAAAAAAUUAUAGUUGAUCAGAAUAGAUAAUGUGAUAUAGCUGCCACGUAAUGAACUUCCUCUCCGAGCUUUCUUGUAAAACCAAAUAAUAAUAAUAAUAAUAAUAAUAAUAAUAAUUUGACUUUUGCUUAUCUAUCGCUUACUUACUAUUUAAGAAAGGACUUUUUUGUAUUUAGUUUCUCACAAAAAAAAUUUUUAUAACUAACCCCACAAAACUUAUAUUUAUAAGAUUGACUCUAUCCCUGCCAGGCAACCGCCAUACAAGCGCCAUGUGAUGUGGCAAUAGGUUAAGUUGAACAUAGUAAAUCAUUCAUCAUAUCUAAAUACGGUGAAUAAUUCACUGUACGUGUCCUUCCUAAAUCCUAAACCCGAAAUAUUACGUAACACCAUAGUAAAAAAAUAAUGAAACACAAUUAACAAUUCACUGUCAUGUUCAACUAACCUACGCCGCCGUCCAUGCUCGCAUGGUAGGGAUAGGACUAAUCUUUAAAAACAUAAAUUUUAU
This 1277-nucleotide long non-coding RNA is filed under the name Ananas comosus (pineapple). RNAcentral's name for it is "long non-coding RNA (ACOM_LNC031098)". The record is from RNAcentral. Lineage: Eukaryota; Viridiplantae; Streptophyta; Magnoliopsida; Poales; Bromeliaceae.